Molecule: ribosomal RNA, 448 nt
Filed under: Shigella flexneri
Lineage: Bacteria; Pseudomonadati; Pseudomonadota; Gammaproteobacteria; Enterobacterales; Enterobacteriaceae
Description: bacterial SSU rRNA
Rfam family: Bacterial small subunit ribosomal RNA
Source: RNAcentral
AAAUUGAAGAGUUUGAUCAUGGCUCAGAUUGAACGCUGGCGGCAGGCCUAACACAUGCAAGUCGAACGGUAACAGGAAGCGCUUGCUGCUUCGCUGACGAGUGGCGGACGGGUGAGUAAUGUCUGGGAAACUGCCUGAUGGAGGGGGAUAACUACUGGAAACGGUAGCUAAUACCGCAUAACGUCGCAAGACCAAAGAGGGGGACCUUCGGGCCUCUUGCCAUCGGAUGUGCCCAGAUGGGAUUAGCUUGUUGGUGGGGUAACGGCUCACCAAGGCGACGAUCCCUAGCUGGUCUGAGAGGAUGACCAGCCACACUGGAACUGAGACACGGUCCAGACUCCUACGGGAGGCAGCAGUGGGGAAUAUUGCACAAUGGGCGCAAGCCUGAUGCAGCCAUGCCGCGUGUAUGAAGAAGGCCUUCGGGUUGUAAAGUACUUUCAGCGGGGAG